UUUUCUCAUGCCAUUUUUCUCUCAUCCACUGUCUCCUUCCAUUUUAUCAUUUUGACCACCAAAUCGCCUCCUUGCACUCACCGGCGACUUUGCCAUGCAACUGGUAGCCCACGUCGUGAACCAUGAUUUCCAAAUCUUAUGAAGUUGUAUCCAAUUUCAAAAAAAUAAACUUGGAGCUCCAUAUAUAGCUAUUUCAAAUAUUCUUGGGAUUUCAGCCCCUACAACUUAGGAGGAAAUUGACCCCAACUGAGCUUUCUCUAGGAAGAUGAAGGUCAAGGGUACCAAUCAAGAAUCACAAAAAAAAAACUCCAAGUGUCUCAAGCUGUUAUGUCUUCAAGAACCAACUGCUAGAAUACUGCCAGAAAACAGGACUAACUACGCCAGUUUAUGAGACUAUCAAGGAAGGCCCUUCUCACGAGCCAGUUUAUAAAUAAUUGUUGUCGUAAACAAUGCCAGAUAUGAUUCUCUAAAUGGCCUUUUCAAUCGGAAGGCAGCAGAGCAUUCGGCUGCUGGAGUUUCCCUCUUGGCACUCGCCAAAUACAAAAAUACUUGUAGUGGGACCUCCCAACCUAUGCACGAGACAGGCUUUUGCAAGAACUUGCUCCGAGAUUAUACUCUAAAGGUGAACAAUGUUGUUUCUAUGUAUACGAGCUGUUGGGAACAGAACGAAGGAAACUGUCCAUGUUUUCAUACGUCGUUGCAAUUGGGAGUACCGAGUAUAUUGGAGCUUCAGCAUGCACAAAGAAAGAAGCCGAGAUUAAUGCUGCUAGGACGACCUUGCUAGCCAUUGAGACACUAGUGCCCGUCACCGAAGAUCACACGGGCAACAUUCAGGAGACAAAAGAGAAAGGCCUUAUGGUUCGUUCAGAUGUAACACCUCUGUCCCUUGGUAUUAGAGUUAAUGGAGGUGAAAAUCAUAAAAUUUAAACCCCCAUUGUCUCUUUGAAGAAGUAAAAAUCGCCAGAUAGAGAUCGACAACUCUCUAGCUCGAUCGAGCUAUUAUCUACAUGUUCUACAGCUCGGUCGAGCUAAUAUCUACAUGUUCUCCAGCUCGAUCGAGCAACAUCCCAAAAUGUUCUUUUGACCUUUAGAUUAUAACAUUGUUAUUGUAACAACCCAAAAUUUUAUAAGGGGAUUUUACAAGAUCAAAUAAAAGCACGUUGCUACUAAUGUUGUGACAUUUCAAAGUGCCACCUAAGAUUUUAAGGUAUAUGAUGACGAGUCUAAGAAAAUUUAGACAAGACAUCCUAUAAAUGUUGUUUUUUUUUUAUGUUUAGCAAUUAUUUCCAAUGACUAUCAAAGAAUAAAUUGGAAGAAAAGUUGUAGUGCCCGUUUCACAAACGUCCAACAUUACAAAACAAAUUGGAUCAUUGAGAUCUCGUAAAGAUAUUAAAAAGAUAUGCGUCAUUAAUACAAAAUCUUAAAAAGAUAUGCGUCAUUAAUACAACAUCUUAAAAAGAUAUGUGUCAUUAAUACAAUAUCUUAAAAAGAUAUGCGUAAUUAAUAAGCUUAGCCACUUGCCAUUUUUUUUAUGCAUAUGUACACGCCACUUGCCAUCUUAUAUUUAUAUGUAUAUGUACUUUUAUGCAAAUCUCUCUCUCUACUCCCUAAAUAUCUCCCACCCUUCCCUCUAUAUUAUUUCUUUUCCAAAAACCGUUCUCUCUAUCUCUGCAAUGAAGAAGACAAGGUUUUUCCUCUCAACCUUAAUUCAAGAAACCGAGAACCCAACUCGACAAGGGGAAACUACCGUUCAUUCGCUCAGAAUUUGCUCAAAAUCCGUUCAAGGUAUAUGAUCCCUUGUUUCCUCAAUUUUAGUCACAUUCGUUGCAUAUCAUGUAACCAACGCAAUGUACGGCAACGGUAACUAAAUCAAACUAGUAACUCGGGCAACUCAAUUAAAAGAAACGAACUUUAACUUCACCAAAACAAGUAAGAACUUAUCUGCAAGUUUAAAAUCAAGAAUUUCGGGUUGGUUUCGGGGCUGUCGGUGUCGUUUCAGAGCUGUUCGGGGCGAGUUCGGACAACUGCGCGAACCGGCGGAGAAGCCGACAGCGAUGGCGACGGUUCUGUGGAUUGACGGCAGCGGUGGCUGGACGCUGCUGACAGCGACGGCUGGCCGCGAGCAGCAGCUCCUCCGGCGGCGCACAGCAGUAACUUUCCUCCCCCGUGGCAGCAGCAGCGCAGCGCGACAGCAGCCCCACCCCCCCGGCGACUCCAACAGCAGCGGCUCCUUCCCGGGGCAGCAGCACCGGCGACUCCAGCAGCAACGGAGGCGGCCGGCGACUCAGACGGAAGAAGAAGAGAGGGCGACAGAUUUCAAAAAAAAAGGGGAGAGAAGAAUGGGGAAGAAGAUGAAAUCGGUAGUGAGAGAGAGGGAGAAAGAGAUGGAGAUAAGAUGGUGUUAAGAAUGAGGCUUUUGUCUUUUGUUGUUGUUAGGCUUUUGUUUGGGCCUCACAAAUUCUUUUGAAAAUGGAGGUUUUAUUUAAGUUUGGGGCCUUUUAUUUUAAUUGGGGCUUUUAAAUUAAA
Salvia splendens (bonfire salvia) is the source of this 2526-nucleotide long non-coding RNA. RefSeq lists it as uncharacterized. The transcript has 4 exons. Lineage: Eukaryota; Viridiplantae; Streptophyta; Magnoliopsida; Lamiales; Lamiaceae. The record is from RefSeq and is a predicted model, not a curated record.